AAGACCCUAGUAAAUUAAUUAUAUAGCCCCGUCAGAGCUAAGUAACAGGAUAACACCUGUGGGUCUUA
Molecule: transfer RNA, 68 nt
Filed under: Plestiodon tunganus
Lineage: Eukaryota; Metazoa; Chordata; Lepidosauria; Squamata; Scincidae
Description: tRNA-Asp
Source: RNAcentral